CGAAGAACCUUACCUACCCUUGACAUCCAGAGGAUUUUCCAGAGAUGGAUUAGUGCCUUCGGGAACUCUGAGACAGGUGCUGCAUGGCUGUCGUCAGCUCGUGUUGUGAAAUGUUGGGUUAAGUCCCGUAACGAGCGCAACCCCUAUCCUUAUUUGCCAGCGAUUCGGUCGGGAACUCUAAGGAGACUGCCGGUGACAAACCGGAGGAAGGUGGGGGAUGACGUCAAGUCAUCAUGGCCCUUACGGGUAGGGCUACACACGUGCUACAAUGGGGAGUACAGAGGGAUGCGAAGCGGCGACGUGAAGCCAAUCCCAAAAAGCUCUCCUCAGUCCGGAUUGGAGUCUGCAACUCGACUCCAUGAAGUCGGAAUCGCUAGUAAUCGCGAAUCAGAAUGUCGCGGUGAAUACGUUCCCGGGCCUUGUACACACCGCCCGUCACACCAUGGGAGUGGAUUGCACCAGAAGUGGCUAGUUUAACCUUCGGGGGAACGGUUACCACGGUGUGGUUCAUGACUGGGGUGAAGUCGUAACAAGGUAAGCGUAGCGAG
RNAcentral lists this ribosomal RNA (548 nucleotides) under uncultured bacterium. RNAcentral describes it as "bacterial SSU rRNA". It matches the Rfam family "Bacterial small subunit ribosomal RNA", at positions 962 to 1509 of the family's 1533-position model. The record is from RNAcentral.